RNAcentral lists this ribosomal RNA (429 nucleotides) under Bacteroidota bacterium. Its description in RNAcentral is "Bacteroidetes bacterium partial 16S ribosomal RNA". It matches the Rfam family "Bacterial small subunit ribosomal RNA", at positions 355 to 776 of the family's 1533-position model. Lineage: Bacteria; Pseudomonadati; Bacteroidota. The record is from RNAcentral.
UAGGGAAUCUUCGGCAAUGGGGGGAACCCUGACCGAGCAACGCCGCGUGAGUGAAGAAGGUUUUCGGAUCGUAAAGCUCUGUUGUUAAGGAAGAACGAGUGUGAGAAUGGAAAGUUCAUGCUGUGACGGUACUUAACCAGAAAGGGACGGCUAACUACGUGCCAGCAGCCGCGGUAAUACGUAGGUCCCGAGCGUUGUCCGGAUUGAUUGGGCGUAAAGCGAGCGCAGGCGGUUAGAAAAGUCUGAAGUGAAAGGCAGUGGCUCAACCAUUGUAGGCUUUGGAAACUGUUUAACUUGAGUGCAGAAGGGGAGAGUGGAAUUCCAUGUGUAGCGGUGAAAUGCGUAGAUAUAUGGAGGAACACCAGUGGCGAAGGCGACUCUCUGGUCUGUAACUGACGCUGAGGUUCGAAAGCGUGGGUAGCAAACAGG